AAGACUAUACUUUCAGGGAUCGUUUUUAUAGUAUAUUAUUGUAGAAGUUUUUUUGAGCAUGUGAAGCGUUGGUCAAACCGCGAAGAGGUAGAUGUUGUGUCGUUUUCCAAAAAAUCACUAUCUGGUGGCGUUUUAUUGUAGUUGUUAUUUGCUAUUGAUGGUCGUUCUUCUCUCCGUUUGGGGAAGGUGAGAGGGAAAGAACGUGGUGUGAGUGGU
Small nucleolar RNA from Gorilla gorilla gorilla (western lowland gorilla), 216 nucleotides. RefSeq annotates it as small nucleolar RNA U3. The transcript has a single exon. Lineage: Eukaryota; Metazoa; Chordata; Mammalia; Primates; Hominidae. The record is from RefSeq and is a predicted model, not a curated record.